AACCUCCGCAAUGUGAGAAAUCGCGACGGGGGGAUCCCAAGUGCCAUUCUUAACGGGAUGGCUUUUCAUUAGUGUAAAGAGCUUUUGGAAUAAGAGCUGGGCAAGACCGGUGCCAGCCGCCGCGGUAACACCGGCAGCUCUAGUGGUAGCAAUUUUUAUUGGGCCUAAAGCGUCCGUAGCCGGUUUAAUAAGUCUCUGGUGAAAUCCUGCAGCUUAACUGUGGGAAUUGCUGGAGAUACUAUUAGACUUGAGAUCGGGAGAGGUUAGAGGUACUCCCAGGGUAGAGGUGAAAUUCUGUAAUCCUGGGAGGACCGCCUGUUGCGAAGGCGUCUAACUGGAACGAUUCUGACGGUGAGGGACGAAAGUUAGGGGCGCGAACCGGAUUAGAUACCCGGUAGUCCUAACUGUAAACGAUGCGGACUUGGUGUUGGGGUGGCUUUGAGCUGCUCCAGUGCCGAAGGGAAGCUGUUAAGUCCGCCGCCUGGGAAGUACGGUCGCAAGACUGAAACUUAAAGGAAUU
RNAcentral lists this ribosomal RNA (520 nucleotides) under uncultured bacterium. RNAcentral's name for it is "bacterial SSU rRNA". It matches the Rfam family "Archaeal small subunit ribosomal RNA", at positions 345 to 866 of the family's 1478-position model. The record is from RNAcentral.